Molecule: long non-coding RNA, 656 nt
Filed under: Aotus nancymaae (Ma's night monkey)
Lineage: Eukaryota; Metazoa; Chordata; Mammalia; Primates; Aotidae
Description: lncRNA (ENSANAG00000039475.1)
Source: RNAcentral
UUUGGAGACUGGAGGACAUUCGCGUGGGCCUGGCUGACACCGCGUGCUCAUCCACGUCAUGGGGCCCCGUGGGUUCUUCCCAGGGGAGCCCGCACACCUGUGCUGAUGGCAGCAGUCAUGGAGCUGCAUCUGGGUGAGGAGCCCGGGAGUGGCCACGUGUGUGUGAGCUCCCGUCGGCGUGAAUGGGGACACUGGUGGGUGCCCCUGUCUACCUGUCCUGUCCCUGCUCAGUGUUGGCCUCCUUGUGGAGUGGGGCCCCAUCGGUGGCUUUUCAGAUGAAUCAAGGACGCUCCAGGCAGAGCCGCUGUCACUCCAGGCAGAGCCCCCGUCUUCGAGGAGCUGCCCCUCCUCAGAUGACAGAUGCUUCUCAGCAGAUCGUCUUCUUUACGCAUCUCCUUCAGGAAUUCUAGUGGGGGCUCUGAGUUGGCCCCUCCUUUCUCUGUAUGUUUGAAAACAGUGCUGGAGGUUCUCCGUCAGCGUCCCCGGGAGCCUCACCUACCCCUCAUAUUCGCUAUUUUCCAUCUGGCCCUGUUCGGAAAUGUGUGGCUGCCUCUGGGAUCCUGGGAGAUGGUGUCCUCCUGAGAGGGUGACCUGGAGUCACCUUGCAGGGCCUGUGCCUCCCCAGGCGCCCCUUGGGGACGUCCCUGCUCCUCUCA